RNAcentral lists this ribosomal RNA (309 nucleotides) under Triticum aestivum (bread wheat). RNAcentral describes it as "partial small subunit ribosomal RNA". The record is from RNAcentral. Lineage: Eukaryota; Viridiplantae; Streptophyta; Magnoliopsida; Poales; Poaceae.
AUGGACGCGGCUAAGCAGCUCCUGGAAUGCUUUGGAGAGGCCACGGGGCUGCGGUGCAACUUCUUGAAGAGCUCCAUCUCCACGAUCCGUUGUCAGGAGGAGGACAUUCGGCAGCUCCUCGCUCUGGCCGGCUGCAAACUCCAGGCGCUACCUAUCACAUACCUCGGCCUUCCUCUUUCGCUAUGGGCCCUGACCCGUUCGGAGCUUCAACCCCUCAUCGAUCGGAUUGCGGCGCAGUUGCCAACAUGGAAUGCGGGCCUCCUCCGUCGGUCCAGCAGACUCACCCUCGUCAACUGCAGGCUCUCGGCG